AGAGGGGGCAAGCGUUAUUCGGAAUUAUUGGGCGUAAAGGGCGCGUAGGCGGUGUCUUAAGUGAGAUGUGUAAUCCCCGAGCUUAACUUGGGAACUGCAUCUCAGACUGGGGCGCUAGAGUACUGGAGAGGGUGGUAGAAUUCCACGUGUAGCGGUGAAAUGCGUAGAGAUGUGGAGGAAUACCAGUGGCGAAGGCGGCCACCUGGACAGUAACUGACGCUGAGGCGCGAAAGUGUGGGUAGCAAACAGGAUUAGAUACCCUGGUAGUCCACGCUGUAAACGAUGAACACUUGGUGUGGCGGGAGUUGACCCCUGCCGUGCCGGAGCUAACGCGAUAAGUGUUCCGCCUGGGGAGUACGGUCGCAAGGCUG
This 371-nucleotide ribosomal RNA is filed under the name uncultured bacterium. Its description in RNAcentral is "bacterial SSU rRNA". It matches the Rfam family "Bacterial small subunit ribosomal RNA", at positions 527 to 896 of the family's 1533-position model. The record is from RNAcentral.